UGCAGAACUCCACCCUCCCCCACCCCGGAGCCUCCUGGUUUCUCCUCCGCAGAACCCGCCUCCACUCACUCCUCCUCCGCCUCCAGCGCCACCUCGUAUCUCCUCAUUCCCGACAUGUCCUGGGCUCCGAACGUCUCCUGGGGAGUGGCAUGAUUGAAUCAGGGAUUCCCUAGCUCCAGGUCCCCUUCUCCGUCAUGCUCAGGACGAGGCUGCCCGGUUCUCAGAUACAAGGAGAAGUAACACCCGGAUGUGAAAAAGAAAAGCAACUUCACAAAGGAUGCCAGCUGAAGCUUAAGGCGUGUUUCACAGGUUUAUAGGACUGACUGAGGCCGUUAAGAUUGUUUGUUUGCCUGUUUUUCACUGCAAC
This is a non-coding RNA of Saimiri boliviensis boliviensis (Bolivian squirrel monkey), 367 nucleotides long. The record is from RefSeq and is a predicted model, not a curated record. Lineage: Eukaryota; Metazoa; Chordata; Mammalia; Primates; Cebidae.